AAUUUAUUUUAUUUUUAUUUUUUUAUUUAUUCAGUAACAGUUUAAUUUUACACCACGGUUUUUAACAGAAAAACCUUUGAACUGAGAAUUUAAUUAAGAAUGUAAUUUAAUAAAGAAUGUAAUUCUUUCAUCUUCGCGAAGUACAGGAGAGAAUUCUUACGUUUUGGAACAAAACGUGAAUCCCAACCAAAUUUUCUGUGAUUGUGUUAAAAAACUGGAGGCGCUUUGGUGUGAUACGCCAAUUCCUGUGUAAUUUUACUUUUAAAAUAGAUAUUUAACGCACAUGAGUCGAUGUAAGUAACGAUCAGUUUCAUUUUUCUCGGUAACCAAAAUAUGACUUAACAUAAUUAUUUUCCAGGUAUCGUGUUUUUGCCCUACUUUGAAGGUAAAAAAAUCGUACUUUGAAAAAUUUUUAAAACAUUUCUGUCAACACCAUGUGAAAGUACGUAAAAAGUUGAGUCACUUGCCGUGAUAUCAGAUCUCUGCAUGAAAAUUAUCGUGCGUGAGCAAUGCGCCAAAACGUGAUAGACCGCAAUAUGCGAAUUUCAAUUUUUGCAUAUCGUCUGUCACGUCAGUUGGAUUGACUGAGUUUUUAGAUGGACUGCGAAACAUCUAAAAUCCUUGACGCGGCGGAAUUUUGGGAGAGCAGGAAAAUAAGCAAGAAGGAGAGUUCAGGCAACGUAUGAUCCGCGUAUAUUCAAAUCUUUAUAAAAGUAUGGAAUCGUUACAAUAAUGACAGACUGACUUUCGGGAGCACUGAAGGUUGGCUGCGCUAGAUGGUGGAAACCGAAGUGGCGUCUCUCCAGUUUGAAAACUUGGAGCUCUGCUCCGAAAAAGCCUUAUCUCACCAUCCAUCUUGUGCCGCUAUGUAAUAAAAAAAUGAUAAAAAAAAAUGCGGACGACUGAUCACAGCAAGGUGCGGUGGCGUUUGCGGACGUGGCGCUUGGAUUUGGAAAUUCACAGAGUGAGAUCGAAAAUGUGGGAGAAAGGGAGAUAGCGAACUCUAUGAAAAUAUGCGUUGCGGUGCACGCGACAUC
Molecule: long non-coding RNA, 1037 nt
Filed under: Bemisia tabaci
Lineage: Eukaryota; Metazoa; Arthropoda; Insecta; Hemiptera; Aleyrodidae
Description: lncRNA ENSSSA2NGG006619
Source: RNAcentral